Molecule: ribosomal RNA, 253 nt
Filed under: uncultured bacterium
Lineage: Bacteria
Description: partial 16S ribosomal RNA
Rfam family: Bacterial small subunit ribosomal RNA
Source: RNAcentral
UACAGAGGGUGCGAGCGUUGUCCGGAAUCACUGGGCGUAAAGGGCGCGUAGGUGGUAACCUAAGCGUGCGGUGAAAGCCCGGGGCUCAACCCCGGGUCGGCCGUGCGGACUGCGGGGCUGGAGCACUGUAGGGGCAGAUGGAAUUCCGGGUGUAGCGGUGGAAUGCGUAGAGAUCCGGAAGAACACCGGUGGCGAAGGCGGUCUGCUGGGCAGUAGCUGACGCUGAGGCGCGACAGCGUGGGGAGCAAACAGG